This 454-nucleotide ribosomal RNA is filed under the name uncultured Cordyceps. Its description in RNAcentral is "eukaryotic LSU rRNA". The stretch from base 76 to 229 matches the Rfam family "5.8S ribosomal RNA". The record is from RNAcentral. Lineage: Eukaryota; Fungi; Ascomycota; Sordariomycetes; Hypocreales; Cordycipitaceae.
AGGUACCCGUCAGAAGCCCACAAAACUCUUUGUGCUUUAGUGGCAUGUAUGACCAAAAGAAAAUUAAUGAGUCAAAACUUUCAACAACGGAUCUCUUGGUUCUGGCAUCGAUGAAGAACGCAGCGAAAUGCGAUAAGUAAUGUGAAUUGCAGAAUUCAGUGAAUCAUCGAAUCUUUGAACGCACAUUGCGCCCGCCAGUAUUCUGGCGGGCAUGCCUGUUCGAGCGUCAUUUCAACCCUCAAGCCCCCGGGCUUGGUGUUGGGGAUCGGCGUGCCCUCGCGGCGCGCCGUCCCCUAAAUCUAGUGGCGGUCUCGCUGUAGCUUCCUCUGCGUAGUAGCAACACUCGCACUGGAUCGCAGCGCGGCCACGCCGUUAAACCCCCCACUUCUGAAAGUUUGACCUCGGAUCAGGUAGGAAUACCCGCUGAACUUAAGCAUAUCAAUAAGCGGAGGAA